GACGAAGCGUGCAAACGUUAUUCGGAUUCACUGGGCUUAAAGGGCGCGUAGGCGGGUGGUCAAGUCGGGGGUGAAAUCUUUCAGCUCAACUGGAAAAUAGCUUCCGAUACUGGCCGGCUUGAGGGAGGUAGGGGCAUGUGGAACUUCCGGUGGAGCGGUGAAAUGCGUAGAUAUCGGAAGGAACGCCGGUGGCGAAAGCGACGUGCUGGACCUUUUCUGACGCUGAGGCGCGAAAGCCAGGGGAGCAAACGGG
This 253-nucleotide ribosomal RNA is filed under the name uncultured bacterium. Its description in RNAcentral is "partial 16S ribosomal RNA". It matches the Rfam family "Bacterial small subunit ribosomal RNA", at positions 524 to 776 of the family's 1533-position model. The record is from RNAcentral.